AGCAACAGAGUGGGGAAGGAAGCAAACUUAAGUCGAACUUUCUUAGCCUCAGUUUCAUUUUCUAUGAAAUAAGGAUAGUAAUACCUCAUUGAUUGCUAUGGAGAUUAAAUUAGAUAAUGUAUGUAAAAUGCAAAAGACAAUCUAUAAAUGUUUACUUUUCUCCUGCCAUCCAUCUAGCCCAAACUUGCACUAGAGGUGAUUAGGUAGUUAGAUUUCAAAUAACUGAGUUGUGAUGUCAGCAAAAUCAGAAUUAAGCAGACUGAAUUUCCAGAUGUGUCCAAAUGUCAAUGAAGUCAAUAUUUAAGCAGAGAUCUAUUGGACUGCGCUGUAACUCCAUAAGCCUUGAAUAAUUGAGAAUUGACCAUAAACUGAGAAUCGUAUUAUGUUCUGCAUUAUGACCUUGCAUUAACAGAGACUGAACAAUUGAAGGUUUGGAGGUAAGUGAAAGAGCCUGGUGCCUGUAAUAUUUCAGGAGGAAAUGUAACCAUUUAACAAGCAACACAAGUACUGGUAUUAAUUGAGAAAGGUUUCAUUGAUCUCUCUGGAAAAUUUCUCCCUUCAAAUGCCACUUGUCACUAGAGUGUGGAUUCUCUAAUGUAUUUAGUGAUCACUCAAUUAUGUCCAGUACUUGCUCUCCAUCCUGGUCUUAUAAUACAGACUCUUCUACAUUUUCAAUUGUUCCAGGCUCUAGCCACAUCUUAGUUCUGUGCAACAAUAGGCAUUGUGGAAUUGCUGCAAAUCAAAUUUCCCAGCAGACGCUUAUGAUGCACCAAGCCUCAUCCUUUUCACCCACCCGAUUUUGGUGCCGCGGAGGUGGGCAGCUCCAGGUGAGUUACCAGCAUCGCUCACCAAGCACAGGAUGUGACCUCUCUCUGCUGCCUUGGAGGGCUUUUUGUGAAAGCACAGAAGGCUGAUCAGUCGUAUACAGACACAACCUGGAAGCUUGGGGAAGUAAAUGCCCUAUGAGACAGCCUUGCUCCAAAGGCUGGUGGGAAUCAGUGCAUAAAUGUCUCAGGCUUCUUGUCCUCUGGUGAGACAAAUCUGAGGUAUGGCCCACGCCGUUCCCCAGGGGAGCCUCAGCAAGAGUGAGCUCUAGUUGCCCACAGCAAUAAUUAGCAGAUUAACACAUGGAUUGUACUGUGUUUUCUUACUGUCUUUUCCCUACUCCCUCACUUCUGCUUUCUGGGGCUGCCUCCCAUCAAACCAUCUGCACCCAGCCUUUGUCUCAAGCUUUGCUCUCUGGAGGUAUUACUCCAGCCUAACUCCCUCUAGACGUAUUAGCAUAGUGCUAAAGAAACAGAAAAACCUCAAACUACAGCAAAAACGAGAUAUUUCAGUAAGCACCCUAUGGCGAAAAUUCCUGGCGGUGAGUUUUACUACCUUACUGAAGGGAUUAGGGAACUGCUGGGAUAAUAGCUAGUAUACUCAGGACUUUCAAAGCUUCAGAGCUGUUGUUUUCAGUGUAUUUCAGACCUUUAAUUACAGAAGAAAGUCCCGAAUGUGGAGAGUGGGAACUCACAUCAGUUCUGUUUGAGUCAUUGAAUAACACUGUAUAAAGUCUGCUCUUAUAAAGCGCUGUGAAAGGGGUGACCUAAGGAAUGAAGAACAAAACAUCAAAGGAGUGAGAAAGAAGGAGAGAAUUAAGAAUUGUGUGGAUAAUUGAGUCCCCAAACUUUGCCUGUUUUAGGCUUCCUUCCAAUCCAGCAUUUAUCUUGGAACUGCCGGGUCUUAUGUUCCAUGAGGGCUGGUAACUCUGUGUAUUGUUCCCUCUGUGUCACCUCACACAGCACAUGGGACAUAGCAGCUGCAAAUAAGCAAAUUUGGAAUAAAUGAAUAAAUUAACUGAUCGAAUUUCCCUGCUUAGGAGUGUGAUGUGAGGGAAAGCCUUAGACCAGAAGGUGGCAGAAGGGGUUCAAGCCUAGGAUCUCAUUAACCUGACACCUCAGCUUGUCACCUCAACAGUCCUGCUGGUGCUGGGUAGCCCAACACCAAAACAGAGGCCUUUAAUUGGUUUCAGAGUUUUAAGGAAACUUGUUAAGCAACCCAACUUUGAAGGCAAGCAGAAAUGGGUG
Molecule: long non-coding RNA, 2072 nt
Organism: Macaca mulatta (Rhesus monkey)
Lineage: Eukaryota; Metazoa; Chordata; Mammalia; Primates; Cercopithecidae
Source: Ensembl